Molecule: long non-coding RNA, 245 nt
Organism: Anopheles merus
Lineage: Eukaryota; Metazoa; Arthropoda; Insecta; Diptera; Culicidae
Exons: 2
Source: RefSeq, a predicted model, not a curated record
UUAUGAUGCGUAUCCCUCCUUCGAAAUUGCGGUGCUGAGAUGAUGAUAAAGUAGAAGCUUGUGUGGAAUAAGGCUGCAGCCAGAACGGAAUGAAUAUUUGUUUUCUUUGAACUGGAACGGCAACAGUGGCAGCAUAGACGAUCGUCUCGAACAUGACGACUGCAACGAACCGACAUGGAACCGCGGACAAUAACUUAAAUAACAACUAUGCAUAAGCACAAAUAUACUUAUAGUUUAUUUCCUAA